RNAcentral lists this ribosomal RNA (502 nucleotides) under uncultured bacterium. RNAcentral's name for it is "partial 16S ribosomal RNA". It matches the Rfam family "Bacterial small subunit ribosomal RNA", at positions 28 to 507 of the family's 1533-position model. The record is from RNAcentral.
GAUUAACGCUGGCGGCGUGCCUAACACAUGCAAGUCGAGCGGCAGCGAGUUUUACACUGAAUUCUGGAAGCUUCUAGUUGAAAGAGAAGAUUUAUUCAAGAAUUUUGUGUAAAAUGUCGGCGAGCGGCGGACGGCUGAGUAACGCGUGGGAACGUACCCCAAAGUGAGGGAUAACGCAUCGAAAGGUGUGCUAAUACCGCAUAUGGUCUUCGGAUUAAAGCCUUCGGGCGCUUUGGGAACGGCCUGCGUAAGAUUAGAUAGUUGGUGGGGUAAUGGCCUAUCAAGUCGACGAUCUUUAACUGGUUUGAGAGGAUGAUCAGUCAGACUGGAACUGAGACACGGUCCAGACUCCUACGGGAGGCAGCAGUGAGGAAUCUUCCACAAUGGGCGAAAGCCUGAUGGAGCAACGCCGCGUGCAGGAUGAAGGCCUUCGGGUUGUAAACUGCUUUUAUAAGUGAGGAUUAUGACAGUAACUUAUGAAUAAGGAUCGGCUAACUACGUG